Molecule: non-coding RNA, 30 nt
Filed under: Rattus norvegicus (Norway rat)
Lineage: Eukaryota; Metazoa; Chordata; Mammalia; Rodentia; Muridae
Source: RNAcentral
UAAUUUUUUAAAUAGAACCAGAAAUCGUGC